RNAcentral lists this long non-coding RNA (186 nucleotides) under Ictidomys tridecemlineatus (thirteen-lined ground squirrel). RNAcentral describes it as "lncRNA (ENSSTOG00000033930.1)". Lineage: Eukaryota; Metazoa; Chordata; Mammalia; Rodentia; Sciuridae. The record is from RNAcentral.
GGUGGGAGAAUUGAAUGACAUUGAAAAUCCUGGAAAUGAGGAGAAGCAAACUAAAACAGCAAGCACCAAGCACAUGAAGGGAGAGACGAGUUCUUUAGGGAGAUCGAAUGUGGCACUUUGCCAUGUCUGUGUUCCUGAUAGAAUUAUAUGGACAUAAUCUUCUUCUAACAGCAGUGUUUGGCUUAG